GUGGGGGAAAGGGGGAGGGGAAGGGAGGAGAGGGAGAGAGGGAUGGCAGGAACAGAGGAAUUUGUGGAAGCAGAUAAUGCAGAGGCCAUAAUCAACAGAAUCGAACAAAAAUCUUGAAAGAUCGAGAGCUUACUCAAACUGUACAAGACAGUUGAAGCUCUAAAAAGGUACAAGACAGUUGAAGCUCUAAAAACUGCUCUUGAAGGCUCGUCUCUCAACACCAAAGACGAGCGCUGCAAGUCUGCAAAUUGGAUAAUGGUGCAUACAGCUAUCAUGGCUAUUAAAGAUGUGGAUGCAAUGUUUUCUUCUUUGGAUCCCGAGUGCUAUGAAAUUCUCAUGAAAUGAGGUAUUUUUCUUACCUUUUCUUUCUUUCCUUACCGAUACGGAAGCCGCUCCGCUCGUCCCUCUUUUGAGGAGGGACUUCGCUUCACUCUCCUUGAAGAAACCAAGUUUGCGGUUACGUAUAUGAUAACCUAGAAGCAUCAGCUUCUAAGGGUGUCAUUCAUUGCAUGUGGUGGGAAGUUCAGAGUAGAUCAACAAAACGUAUGUGCAAUUCCAUGCGGGUUACUUGGUCUAACUAAGGCCUAUCACGUUGUAUCUUGUAGAAUAGCUACUUUCAGAAACAAAUUGAUAGACAAAUGGCAGAGGAAGACGGAGUUGACCACUGGCGCUGCUGAUAUUAAAAGCGAGCCGCAUACUUUUAAUCAGAUAUCACUAGGAAUUCAUCUUUCUUUUUCCAAUAGCAGAAUAUUAGUGAACAAGUUGCUUCUUAUAUAAAAGACCCAAGCAGAAUGGUUGGGCAGAUGCAGAUGUGGAAAUUAGCAGUUUCUGUAUUUGGCACUGUUCCUGUGGGAGAGAACACUGCAAAGGGAAAGGUACUGAUUGCAUAUAAUUGUGGUUAACUAUAAUUCUAUACUAAUCUGAGGACCCAUUUAUAAAUUCAUUGGAAUUAAAUG
Long non-coding RNA from Pyrus x bretschneideri (Chinese white pear), 956 nucleotides. RefSeq lists it as uncharacterized. NCBI's taxonomy places the organism in Eukaryota, Viridiplantae, Streptophyta, Magnoliopsida, Rosales, Rosaceae. The record is from RefSeq and is a predicted model, not a curated record. The transcript is spliced from 7 exons.